This 85-nucleotide transfer RNA is filed under the name Felis catus (domestic cat). It matches the Rfam family "tRNA". Rfam says of the family: Transfer RNA (tRNA) molecules are approximately 80 nucleotides in length. Lineage: Eukaryota; Metazoa; Chordata; Mammalia; Carnivora; Felidae. The record is from Rfam by way of RNAcentral.
GCCUGGGUGGCUCAGUCGGUGAAGCGUCUGACUUCGGCUCAGGUCACGAUCUCGCGGUUCGUGGGUUCGAGCCCCACGUCGGGCU